AGUAAUAUAUCGGAACGUGCCCUAGAGUGUGGGAUAACUAGUCGAAAGACUAGCUAAUACCGCAUACGAUCUACGGAUGAAAGUGGGGGAUCGCAAGACCUCAUGCUCCUGGAGCGGCCGAUAUCUGAUUAGCUAGUUGGUGGGGUAAAAGCCUACCAAGGCAACGAUCAGUAGCUGGUCUGAGAGGACGACCAGCCACACUGGGACUGAGACACGGCCCAG
Molecule: ribosomal RNA, 222 nt
Filed under: uncultured Burkholderiales bacterium
Lineage: Bacteria; Pseudomonadati; Pseudomonadota; Betaproteobacteria; Burkholderiales
Description: partial 16S ribosomal RNA
Rfam family: Bacterial small subunit ribosomal RNA
Source: RNAcentral